UAGAAUCAAAAGGAUGCAACAUCAGAGCGAAAAUGGCGAUCCACCAAAUCUUUCCCGCACAUUCAAGUAUCUUAUGCAACGCAGUUCUUGGCGAGGGGAAUACCUUUUAUCUUCAAUACGUGGAUACUGAGACAUCUUUCAGCUUAUGACUAUGCUAAGAGGAGAUCAUCCUCAAGACAUAGAUGGUUAAGGGAUAAUGAGGCACAUCUGAAAUGAAACUUGAACCGCAUUAUCGUUCAACUAGUGUUCAUGAAUCAAGCAGCUAAUGGCCCAUCCUCCUCCAAGUCUCCAAUAUUGGUUCUCCCUUCCUCCGGCAAGACGGCAAUUACCGUAAUAGGUUAGUUUUCUUAAAUUUUUUUAGACUGAAUUAUUUGUUUUUUUAACUUCAAA
This is a long non-coding RNA of Amaranthus tricolor (Joseph's coat), 390 nucleotides long. RefSeq lists it as uncharacterized. The transcript is spliced from 3 exons. Lineage: Eukaryota; Viridiplantae; Streptophyta; Magnoliopsida; Caryophyllales; Amaranthaceae. The record is from RefSeq and is a predicted model, not a curated record.